CUUGAGGACACUCAAGUGGCCUAUGGAGAGGCAAACAUGCAUUGUCAUAAAAUCCACCAAGGAUGGAUCCUAGAGUUUUAAAAGAGAAAGAAUCUAACAAAUUACUCUCUGAAUUUCAAACACAACAAAUAUUAAAGAUAAGAAACCCAAUCUCAAGCACUAUGAGACUCCCUCCUCUCCAUCUCCAAGGGUCAGGCCAUGGUCUUAGUCAUUGCCAAGAGCAUCACAGAAGGCCUCUGCCUCCGGUUCCUACCUGGGCCCUUUCUAUGCUCGUUAACUGAUGCUGCAGCCUGACUUCUUCAAGACUAAGUUGGGCUGUAUGCUUGCAGUCAUGGGAGGAAAACAAAAGAGGGUAUAAACACAAUGCAAUGCCUCGACAAAUCACUCCAUCUCAGGGGGUCAGAAACUAAAUUAAAUGUUAGGAAAAACAGAAAAGAAAUAAGCAACAUAGUGCCAGCCUUUGGGUUCUUAGACACUCAAAAGGAAACAGAAAGUACAGAAACAAUACACCAGGAAAUAAAAGAGGGCAUUUUUAGAAGUACCAUUUAAAUUGCAAGGGCUGCAGGAAUCAACAGAAGGAAAUAAUCGGGGCGAGGGGGAGGGGACUUAAUAAGAAUAAUAAUUAUAUAUUCCCUCAAAUUUGUAUGGAAUUUAUAAAUUAUGAGGGACUUUUCGCACAUUUAUAACUUCAUUUUAGACACGCACAAUGAAAUUAAGUAAAAUGGGGUUGGCGGGACAGAUGGUAACAACUUUAUUUUACAGAUGAGGAACUUGGACUCAGCUAGCUUUGGCGACUUGUUGAGAAAGUCAGAACCAGUUAGUUGUGGAAUAUAAAAUUGAGCUCGGCUCUCUUCCUACCUAGUCUUUUCUCUGCUCCGCUCCCACACUUCAGUGAGAGUUGCUUUCCUGAAGGAGUAAGUUCUAAAGCAGGAUUGGAAGUUCCUAUAGGGACAAAGAGAGGAGGCAUCCACGAGUGGCAAGGAGUGUGAAAGGGAUGAAAAACACAUAAGAAGAAAUGGAGACAGGCAGAAGGUCCCAGCUACAGGACAGAAAAGCCAGGGUGUGGGCUUCUGAGAGAUGAUGCUGAGUGGUGAGUCACGGGUGACUAAGGGAGCCAUUGACAUCAGAUUGCAAAUUCUCCCCUCCUACCCCGUGACGAAGAAGUUUAUCUCCUAUGUCUCUUUAUAUAUGAAAAACCAUAAAGAAAACACCAGUAUCUUCACAUAAUGUACCAUCCAAUGAAAGCAUACGCCAUCUCACUUGGGCCCUUUAUCAAUCUUAGUCACAGUGCCCAAUAUCGUUUCCAUUUCUCAUUCUCUGAGUUCUGUUAUCCAAAGC
Molecule: long non-coding RNA, 1338 nt
Filed under: Pan troglodytes (chimpanzee)
Lineage: Eukaryota; Metazoa; Chordata; Mammalia; Primates; Hominidae
Description: long non-coding RNA NONPTRT005631
Source: RNAcentral